UACAAGGAGACUACAAUGAGAAUUUUAUUGC
RNAcentral lists this non-coding RNA (31 nucleotides) under Homo sapiens (human). The record is from RNAcentral. Lineage: Eukaryota; Metazoa; Chordata; Mammalia; Primates; Hominidae.